UACGGGGGGGACGAGCGUUGUUCGGAUUUACUGGGCGUAAAGGGCGCGUAGGCGGGCCGAUAAGUCGGAUGUGAAAACUGUCAGCUUAACUGACAGCCUGCACUCGAUACUGUCGGUCUUGAGUACAGGAGAGGAGAGCGGAAUUCCAGGUGUAGCGGUGAAAUGCGUAGAUAUCUGGAAGAACACCAGUAGCGAAGGCGGCUCUCUGGACUGAUACUGACGCUAAAGCGCGAAGGCAUGGGGAGCAAACAGGAUUAGAUACCCUCGUA
This 269-nucleotide ribosomal RNA is filed under the name uncultured prokaryote. Its description in RNAcentral is "partial 16S ribosomal RNA". It matches the Rfam family "Bacterial small subunit ribosomal RNA", at positions 524 to 792 of the family's 1533-position model. The record is from RNAcentral.